RNAcentral lists this non-coding RNA (945 nucleotides) under Anoplopoma fimbria (sablefish). Its description in RNAcentral is "12S ribosomal RNA". It matches the Rfam family "Bacterial small subunit ribosomal RNA". Lineage: Eukaryota; Metazoa; Chordata; Actinopteri; Perciformes; Anoplopomatidae. The record is from RNAcentral.
CAAAGGCUUGGUCCUGACUUUACUAUCAACUUUAGCCAAACUUACACAUGCAAGUAUCCGCCCCCCUGUGAGAAUGCCCUACAGUUCCCCGCCCGGGAACAAGGAGCUGGUAUCAGGCACACCCCAUUAAGCCCAUGACGCCUUGCUUAGCCACACCCUCAAGGGAACUCAGCAGUGAUAAACAUUAAGCCAUAAGUGAAAACUUGACUUAGUCAAAGCUAAGAGGGCCGGUAAAACUCGUGCCAGCCACCGCGGUUAUACGAGAGGCCCAAGUUGAAAGACAUCGGCGUAAAGAGUGGUUAAGUAAAAACUAAACUAAAGUCGAACAUCUUCAAGGCUGUUAUACGCAUCCGAAGACAAGAAGUUCAACCACGAAGGUGACUUUAUUCGUACUGAACCCACGAAAGCUAGGACACAAACUGGGAUUAGAUACCCCACUAUGCCUAGCCCUAAACCUUGAUAGUGACCUACGCCCACUAUCCGCCUGGGAACUACGAGCAUCAGCUUGAAACCCAAAGGACUUGGCGGUGCUUUAGAUCCACCUAGAGGAGCCUGUUCUAGAACCGAUAACCCCCGUUCAACCUCACCUUUCCUUGUUUUCCCCGCCUAUAUACCGCCGUCGUCAGCUUACCCUGUGAAGGUCUAAUAGUAAGCAAAACUGGCAUAGCCCUAAACGUCAGGUCGAGGUGUAGCGCAUGGGAAGGGAAGAAAUGGGCUACAUUUGCUAUGAUAGCAAAUACGGAUGGUGUUCUGAAAUAUACACCUGAAGGAGGAUUUAGCAGUAAGCGGAAAAUAGAGUGUUCCGCUGAAAUUGGCCCUGAAGCGCGCACACACCGCCCGUCACUCUCCCCAAGCCUGCUAAUUCAAUUAACUAAACCCUAAAAAGGGCAAAGGGGAGGCAAGUCGUAACAUGGUAAGUGUACCGGAAGGUGCGCUUGGAAAAAU